Molecule: long non-coding RNA, 474 nt
Organism: Pezoporus flaviventris
Lineage: Eukaryota; Metazoa; Chordata; Aves; Psittaciformes; Psittacidae
Exons: 6
Source: RefSeq, a predicted model, not a curated record
GCGGCAUGGCGGCGGUGCGGCGGGCGCGUGUGGCAGGGUGCAAAGCCAGGGUGAAAACACUCACCUGCUUAGGAAGCUGAUUCCUUCACUGGACCAACACUAAACCUGCACCAUGGAGGAAAUCAUCCUGCAGAGGCCUGGGGCUGUACUGCUGCCCAAAGACAGCUUUGGCAAGAGAGCAAGUCGGGCUUCAGACUGAAGAUCAGUAACACUUCCUGACAGGCUGAGCCAACAGAGGUGACAGUGGACUUCCUUAACAACCAAGAAGCAGCAGAAGGAAGAUGGUUCUGGAGCAGAUUUCACAAAUGGCCAUUGAGAGACCGUUGGAAACAGGGUGAAAUGGCCACCAGUGUGUAACUGCAGGCUUCUCCUCACUGCAGCCCCAUCGUGGGACCCGAUCUGCAGCUGGCAGGAGGAAGAAGUGCUUCCCUGCUGUUUGCUGUUCUGGAAUAAAACAGGUUGUGGAAAAUCAGA